GAGUUAAGAUCAACGGUUUGUUCAUUAGUUAUUGAGGUUUAAAACUGUUAUAGGAAUUAUUAGGAUUUGGUUUAGGGUUUAGUUAGGAUUUGGUUUGGGGUUUAGGGUUUGGAUUAGGGUUUGAUUUAGGAUUUAGGGUUUGAUUAGGAUUUAGGAUUUGGAUUAGGGUUUGGUUAGGAUUUAGGGUUUGGAUUAGGAUUUGGUUAGGAUUUUAUUUAGGGUUUAGGAUUUGAUUAGGAUUUGAUUAAGGAUUUAAGAUUUGAUUAAGAUUUGAUUUAGGAUUUAGGAUUUGGAUUAGGGUUUGGUUUAGGGUUUAGGAUUUAAUUAGGGUUUGAUUUAGGAUUUAAGAUUUGGAUUAGGGUUUGAUUUAGGGUUUAGGAUUUGGAUUAGGGUUUGGUUUAGGAUUUAGGAUUUGGAUUAAGAUUUGGUUAAGGUUUGAUUUAGGAUUUAAGGUUUGGUUUAGGGUUUGAUUUAGGCUUUAGGAUUUUAUUAGGAUUUAAGAUUCAAUUAAUUUUGGCCUAAAGUUUGAAUGAAGUUCAAUAGGAUUUUAACUAGAAUUAAAUUAAGAUUGAAUUGAGAUGUAUUUGAGUGAUAUUUGUAUUCUUUUUAAUGUUUCUUUAAGAAUUCUUAUUAUUUGUUUGAAAUUUCUUUGAGAUUUUUUUGAAUUUGAUUAAGCUUGCUUAGCAUUAUUAUGGUCUAAUUAGAGCAUUGUUAGUAUUCUAUUAGAAUUAGGAUUUUGUUAUUGUAAUUUCUAUUCUUCUUUCCACAACUAGGCAUCGGAAACAUUCUCAAGCAAGACUUCAUGUAUUACGACAACGGACUCAACAAAUCA
Molecule: long non-coding RNA, 832 nt
Filed under: Physcomitrium patens
Lineage: Eukaryota; Viridiplantae; Streptophyta; Bryopsida; Funariales; Funariaceae
Description: long non-coding RNA (PPAT_LNC007451)
Source: RNAcentral